UACGGAGGGGGCUAGCGUUGUUCGGAAUUACUGGGCGUAAAGCGCACGUAGGCGGCUUUGUAAGUUAGAGGUGAAAGCCCAGGGCUCAACCCUGGAAUUGCCUUUAAGACUGCAUCGCUUGAACAUCGGAGAGGUAAGUGGAAUUCCGAGUGUAGAGGUGAAAUUCGUAGAUAUUCGGAAGAACACCAGUGGCGAAGGCGACUUACUGGACGAUUGUUGACGCUGAGGUGCGAAAGCUAGGGGAGCGAAUGGG
Molecule: ribosomal RNA, 253 nt
Filed under: uncultured bacterium
Lineage: Bacteria
Description: partial 16S ribosomal RNA
Rfam family: Bacterial small subunit ribosomal RNA
Source: RNAcentral